AAAGUCGUAACAAGGUCUCCGUUGGUGAACCAGCGGAGGGAUCAUUACAGAGUCUAGCGACUCCCAAACCACUGUUAAUCUACCGUACCGUUGCCUCGGCGGGCUGCCUCUGGGAGGGGCCGCAGCUACGCCCGCCGCAGGCCUCAAAACUAUACCUAUUUUUGUGGCACUUCUGAGCAAACUUCCAAACAAUCAAAACUUUCAACAACGGAUCUCUUGGUUCUG
This 225-nucleotide unclassified non-coding RNA is filed under the name Ascomycota sp. RNAcentral's name for it is "partial contains small subunit ribosomal RNA, internal transcribed spacer 1, and 5.8S ribosomal RNA". The stretch from base 1 to 47 matches the Rfam family "Eukaryotic small subunit ribosomal RNA", at positions 1785 to 1831 of the family's 1831-position model. The record is from RNAcentral. Lineage: Eukaryota; Fungi; Ascomycota.